CCUACGGGUGGCAGCAGUGAGGAAUAUUGGUCAAUGGACGAGAGUCUGAACCAGCCAAGUAGCGUGAAGGAUGACUGCCCUAUGGGUUGUAAACUUCUUUUAUAUGGGAAUAAAAUGUUCCACGUGUGGGAUUUUGUAUGUACCAUAUGAAUAAGGAUCGGCUAACUCAGUGCCAGCAGCCGCGGUAAUACGGAGGAUCCGAGCGUUAUCCGGAUUUAUUGGGUUUAAAGGGAGCGUAGGUGGAUUGUUAAGUCAGUUGUGAAAGUUUGCGGCUCAACCGUAAAAUUGCAGUUGAAACUGGCAGUCUUGAGUACAGUAGAGGUGGGCGGAAUUCGUGGUGUAGCGGUGAAAUGCUUAGAUAUCACGAAGAACUCCGAUUGCGAAGGCAGUUCACUGGACUGCAACUGACACUGAGGCUCGAAAGUGUGGGUAUCAAACAGGAUUAGAUACCCUUGUAGUC
This 460-nucleotide ribosomal RNA is filed under the name uncultured bacterium. RNAcentral describes it as "partial 16S ribosomal RNA". It matches the Rfam family "Bacterial small subunit ribosomal RNA", at positions 338 to 795 of the family's 1533-position model. The record is from RNAcentral.